This 232-nucleotide long non-coding RNA is filed under the name Prunus persica (peach). RNAcentral describes it as "long non-coding RNA (PPER_LNC002487)". Lineage: Eukaryota; Viridiplantae; Streptophyta; Magnoliopsida; Rosales; Rosaceae. The record is from RNAcentral.
CAUGUACGAAAUCCAACUAAUCUCGAACAGGAAACUAAAUGUUACAAAACAUACAAAUAAAAGUACGAAGUUAAUUUCAAUUAACUUCGUACAUCACAACACAUUGUGCUACGUCACGCGAAAUUUAACAACAUAAUAUAAAUAUAACUUCACAAAAAAAAUAUACACAUAACAAAUUAACUUUAACAUUUUUAAUAUAUAAAACGAAUAAAAUACCUUAUCAAUCGUUCUC